Molecule: ribosomal RNA, 492 nt
Filed under: uncultured bacterium
Lineage: Bacteria
Description: partial 16S ribosomal RNA
Rfam family: Bacterial small subunit ribosomal RNA
Source: RNAcentral
AGUGAACGCUGGCGGUAGGCCUAACACAUGCAAGUCGAACGGCAGCACAGUAAGAGCUUGCUCUUACGGGUGGCGAGUGGCGGACGGGUGAGGAAUACAUCGGAAUCUACUUUUUCAUGGGGGAUAACGUAGGGAAACUUACGCUAAUACCGCAUACGACCUACGGGUGAAAGCAGGGGAUCUUCGGACCUUUCGCGAUUGAAUGAGCCGAUGUCGGAUUAGCUAGUUGGCGGGGUAAAGGCCCACCAAGGCGACUAUCCGUAGCUGGUCUGAGAGGAUGAUCAGCCACACUGGAACUGAGACACGGUCCAGACUCCUACGGGAGGCAGCAGUGGGGAAUAUUGGACAAUGGGCGCAAGCCUGAUCCAGCCAUACCGCGUGGGUGAAGAAGGCCUUCGGGUUGUAAAGCCCUUUUGUUGGGAAAGAAAAGCAGCAGGUUAAUACCCCGCUGUUCUGACGGUACCCAAAGAAUAAGCACCGGCUAACUUCGUG